CGCAAGUGUAUGUCUAUGCUGCUGCGGUUAAAAAGCUCGUAGUUUGAUUCGCGUGCUUAGCACUGAGUGUGGCCUUUCGGCUACUACUCUGAUGCGGUACAUUAUCGGCAGUUUGUCGUUGAUGCUCUUCAUUGGGUGUCAGCGGCUGCUGUCAAGUUUACUUUGAACAAAUUAAAGUGCUCAACACAGGCGUUUCGCUUGUAUAGUCUUGCAUAGAAUAAUAGAAUAAGACUUUCGUUUAUUUCUUGUUGGUCUCAAUGACGAAAGUAAUGAUUAAGAGGGACAGACGGGACAUUUGUACUGCGACGUUAGAGGUGAAAUUCUUGGAUCGUCGCAAGACAAACUACUGCGAAG
Molecule: ribosomal RNA, 354 nt
Filed under: uncultured eukaryote
Lineage: Eukaryota
Description: bacterial SSU rRNA
Rfam family: Eukaryotic small subunit ribosomal RNA
Source: RNAcentral